Molecule: transfer RNA, 70 nt
Filed under: Neotoma lepida (desert woodrat)
Lineage: Eukaryota; Metazoa; Chordata; Mammalia; Rodentia; Cricetidae
Rfam family: tRNA
About the family: Transfer RNA (tRNA) molecules are approximately 80 nucleotides in length. Their secondary structure includes four short double-helical elements and three loops (D, anti-codon, and T loops). Further hydrogen bonds mediate the characteristic L-shaped molecular structure. tRNAs have two regions of fundamental functional importance: the anti-codon, which is responsible for specific mRNA codon recognition, and the 3' end, to which the tRNAs corresponding amino acid is attached (by aminoacyl-tRNA synthetases). tRNAs cope with the degeneracy of the genetic code in two manners: having more than one tRNA (with a specific anti-codon) for a particular amino acid; and 'wobble' base-pairing, i.e. permitting non-standard base-pairing at the 3rd anti-codon position.
Source: Rfam by way of RNAcentral
GGCUGUAGCUUACAGGUAGAGCACCUGCCUCUCAUGCAUGGCACCCUGGGUUCCAGUCCCAGCACUGCCA